Molecule: unclassified non-coding RNA, 218 nt
Filed under: Hevea brasiliensis (rubber tree)
Lineage: Eukaryota; Viridiplantae; Streptophyta; Magnoliopsida; Malpighiales; Euphorbiaceae
Source: RNAcentral
GUUCGCAUCACUUUUUGCUUUUGAUCUUGCCAAAAAUGGUGACUUCAUGGUACAAGAACCACUUUCUCUCGAUCUGGGAACGAGGAUUUGAAUUUCGAAAUUAAGGUGAAUCUUGAUUUUGCUCCCAAUUUCUCUUCAGAAAUUACACUUUGUCCUCGCUCUUUCCACCUAAAGUGUAGCCCUAAUUCUUUUGCUAUAUAAGAUCUCUUCAUGAUGGC